GAUGAACGCUGGCGGCGUGCCUAAUACAUGCAAGUCGAGCGAACAGACGAGGAGCUUGCUCCUCUGACGUUAGCGGCGGACGGGUGAGUAACACGUGGAUAACCUACCUAUAAGACUGGGAUAACUUCGGGAAACCGGAGCUAAUACCGGAUAAUAUAUUGAACCGCAUGGUUCAAUAGUGAAAGACGGUUUUGCUGUCACUUAUAGAUGGAUCCGCGCCGCAUUAGCUAGUUGGUAAGGUAACGGCUUACCAAGGCAACGAUGCGUAGCCGACCUGAGAGGGUGGUCGGCCACACUGGAACUGGGACACGGUCCAGACUCCUACGGGAGGCAGCAGUAGGGAAUCGUACGCAGUGGGCGAAAGCUUGACGGAGCAACGCCGCGUGAGUGAUGGAGGUCUUCGGAUCGUAAAACUCUGUUAUUAGGGAAGAACAAAUGUGUAAGUAACUAUGCACGUCUUGACGGUAACUAAUCAGAAAGCAACGGCUAACUACGUG
RNAcentral lists this ribosomal RNA (497 nucleotides) under uncultured bacterium. RNAcentral's name for it is "partial 16S ribosomal RNA". It matches the Rfam family "Bacterial small subunit ribosomal RNA", at positions 28 to 507 of the family's 1533-position model. The record is from RNAcentral.